AUUGAACGCUGGCGGCAGGCCUAACACAUGCAAGUCGAGCGGAUGAAGGGAGCUUGCUUCUGGAUUCAGCGGCGGACGGGUGAGUAAUGCCUAGGAAUCUGCCUGGUAGUGGGGGAUAACGUCCGGAAACGGGCGCUAAUACUGCAUACGUCCUGAGGGAGAAAGUGGGGGAUCUUCGGACCUUACGCUAUCAGAUGAGCCUAGGUCGGAUUAGCUAGUUGGUGGGGUAAAGGCCUACCAAGGCGACGAUCCGUAACUGGUCUGAGAGGAUGAUCAGUCACACUAGAACUGGGACACGGUCCAGACUCCUGCGGGAGGCAGCAGUGGGGAAUAUUGGACAAUGGGCGAAAGCCUGAUCCAGCCAUGCCGCGUGUGUGAAGAAGGUCUUCGGAUUGUAAAGCACUUUAAGUUGGGAGGAAGGGCAGUAAGUUAAUACCUUGCUGUUUUGACGUUACCAACAGAAUAAGCACCGGCUAACUUCGUG
Molecule: ribosomal RNA, 484 nt
Filed under: uncultured bacterium
Lineage: Bacteria
Description: partial 16S ribosomal RNA
Rfam family: Bacterial small subunit ribosomal RNA
Source: RNAcentral